GCAGCUUGGACACCAACCCGGCAGCCUUCUCCGUCUUCGGCGACGAUGCCGCCGGCUUCCAGCCGCUGAACGCCGAGGACGUCCGCUCCUACCUCCACAAGGCCGUCGACUUCAUCUCCGACUACUACAAGUCCCUCGAGUCCCUGCCCGUGCUCCCCGACGUCAAGCCGGGGUACCUGCAGAACGAGCUGCAGGCGGCGCCGCCCACCAGCUCCGCCCCCUUCGACGUCGCCAUGAAGGAGCUCAGGGCCUCCGUCGUCCCCGGCAUGACCCACUGGGCCAGCCCCAACUUCUUCGCCUUCUUCCCCUCCACCAACAGCGCCGCUGCCAUCGCCGGCGACCUCAUCGCCUCGGCGAUGAACACCGUCGGGUUCACUUGGCAGGCCAACCCCGCCGCCACCGAGAUGGAGGUCCUCGCGCUCGACUGGCUCGCCCAGCUCCUCCGCCUCCCCGCGAGCUUCAUGAACCGCACCGCCGCCGGCCGCGGCACCGGCGGCGGCGUCAUCCUCGGCACCACCAGCGAGGCCAUGCUCGUCACGCUCGUCGCCGCGCGCGACGCCGCGCUGCGCCGGAGCGGGUCGGAGGGCGUCGCCGGCCUGCCGCGCCUCGCCGUCUACGCCGCCGACCAGACCCACUCCACCUUCUUCAAGGCGUGCCGCCUCGCCGGCUUCGACCCGGCCAACAUCCGCUCCAUCCCCACCGGCCCGGAGACGGACUACGCCCUCGACCCGGCGAAGCUCCUCGAGGUCAUGGAGGCCGACGUCGCCGCCGGCCUCGUGCCGACCUACAUCUGCGCCACCGUCGGCACCACCUCCUCCAACGCCGUCGACCCCGUCGGAGCCAUCGCCGACGCCGCCGCGCUGUUCAACGCGUGGGUGCACGUCGACGCCGCCUACGCCGGCAGCGCGUGCAUCUGCCCGGAGUUCCGGCACCACCUCGCCGGCGUCGAGCGCGUCGACUCCAUCAGCAUGAGCCCGCACAAGUGGCUGCUGACGUGCCUCGACUGCACCUGCCUGUGGGUCCGCGACACGCACCGGCUCACCGACUCGCUGGAGACCAACCCGGAGUACCUCAAGAACGACGCCAGCGACUCCGGCGCCGUCACCGACCUCAAGGACAUGCAGGUCGGCGUCGGCCGCCGAUUCCGGGGGCUCAAGCUCUGGAUGGUCAUGCGCACAUACGGCGCCGCCAAGCUCCAGGAGCACAUCCGCAGCGACGUUGCCAUGGCCAAGAUGUUCGAGGAAAAUGUCAGGUCCGAUGACAGGUUCGAGGUCGUCGUGCCGAGGAACUUCGCCCUUGUCUGUUUUAGGAUCAAGCCUCACGGCGGCAUGACGGAGGAGGACGCUGACGAGGCCAACCAUGAGCUCAUGGAACGCCUGAACAGGACCGGGAAGGCGUACCUGGCGCACACGGUGGUCGGCGGCAAGUUCGUGCUGCGGUUCGCGGUGGGGUCGUCGCUGCAGGAAGAGAGGCACGUCCGGAGUGCGUGGGAGCUCAUCAAGAAGACGACCGCUGAGAUCAUGCAGGAUUAGAUCGUUGUGGACUAGAAUAUGCAAGUAUAUAUAGAACACAUAUAUUUGAUUCUUUGUUGAUUUUCUGGAAGGUCCAAUGAAGGACAAUAUCUUUGUUGAAGAGAUAUGGUUGUCUAAGAAGAGGUAAUGUAAUUCUAGGUAUUAUUGAAAGGGGAAUACACACAGUUAAUGUCCCACGCACGCAUAAAAUUUGCGUGAAAAAUCAUAUGACUUAUAAUUUACCAAAUUUAAAUAAUAUUUUGAACUAUUUGAUUUACCAACCGCUACUAAAAGAUUGUUUUAGUACCAGGUGAGUUACCUGCGUUGGGAACUUUAGUCCCAAAUUCGUACUACCGGUCCAACAAUCGGGAUUAAUGGGGUUUAGAUUCGUUAGUAGGGACUUUUCCUGUACUGACGUGUGUCACACGAAACAUGAGAAACUGACCUGUCUUUGGAAUGAACUAUACAAUUUUCAUAAAGAAAGUUUAUCAAUUCCAAGAUUAUUACUAAAACUUUAAAACACUCUUGGACUCUACAUAACCGGAUUAUACACAAGCGCGUACCUUAAGCAAAAUCUGAGGAGCUCUAAUUUUACGGUGCACAAUACUAGGCUAUACUAGUAUUCGAAAAGGACUAGUAUAAAAAUAUCUGAUGAUCAAGAUUAAUAAUUGUAUACUACUGAAAAUUUCACAUACGGUAUAGGUAAUGGUAUUAUGGUAAAAGAACACAAAAUGACAUCACUAUGAUAUUUUUUUGAUACUAGUAUAAAGUCUACAAGUCCAUUCUAUUUGGAAUCUCACUUCUUACAAUGUAAUAAUUACUAAAUUACUUAUAAUAGUGAACGGUUAGAUCUUCCCUAUACUAAAAUAUACCACUAAGUGGUAGUAUUGUGUACCGUAAAAAAGCUCAACCUAAGAGAUGACACGUCUUAAAAGUUAGCAGAAUUUUUGACGCCUGUAAUGGUGAAAAUUAGCUAAAAUUUUUGAGUGAAGGUCUGUGACCUUACUGUCUUGAAAAUGCCCCCCCCCCCUCCCCUAAUUAUGCACAUCCAUACAGCAGAGAGUAGAAGAUUUUGACACACUUGUACCAUUCAAUCCGUAGAUUAGGUUGCCACACAUGUUAGCUUGUUUCAAAUGAGAGUCAAUGUACGAAACCAAUGAAGAACCGGUAAAUAUCAGGAAAGAGAAAAAUUCAAGCUUCUUUUUAAAUACCUCAUCACCACAUAGGUCAGUUGAGCUUGUGCACGUAACUGGAUAUACGUGCCCUAGAAGCACUCAACCAGUAGAAGCAGACACAUGCACAGUGACACUUGUGUUCUGGAUCGAUAGCUACGUGAGCAACAUGUUACAACACACAUGCAUGUGAUCAACGCAUUAUAUUGACUAGCUAAAACCCCAGUACCGACGUUGGUGAGCACGGAAAGUGACGGAUGGACUCACGUAGGAGAUGAACCUGAAGUCGCAUGCGUUUUCUGGUAGCUACGGAGCUCUACCUCGCGAGCUAGAGUCUAGAGAUCGACGACGACGACGCCGUGUCGCCGCCCGGCCGGCGGAGGAUUGCAGGCGUCGAACGCGACCAUAGGACUAGGAGUACGUGCAGACGAUGGGUCAAUUCAGCAGCUUUGCAUCUAGCAAAAUAUCCGUGGGUUGCUCCGGUGAAAUGUGGUUGUAUAUUCUAAAACUCGUGUAUUUUUAUUUCUACUACUAUAUUUUAUUAUAACGGAUCUUUAUGCAUUUGCUAGAAGAUCAAUAGAAUUUUGACUUAACAUACUUGUUCUACUUAUACUUAUUACACUUUUUAUUACUUAUUACACUUUUUAUUUAAGAAAGUGAUUCCUAAUAACAAAAAUAGGUACAUACUUGUACCAUGCAACCAUUCUAAUUUUAAUCUUAGAGUAUGUGAGGAUUAUAUUUCAUACAUGGUUCAGUCUAGCAAGCAUCACAAUUGUGCGAGCGUGGUCUACAUGCAUUAUUAGCAAGGGUGGACCUAUUUCUCCGACAUGCACCUACGCUACUCGGCGUGCAACAUUUUCUAACCUCAUGUACUACCUCCGUCCCAAUUUAACUGCAUUUGUAUAGUUCAAAAAAAGGUCCCAAAAUAAACACACAAGCUGGAGCCUAUCGGUCCAAUGAUGUUCCAGUCUGUUGCGCAUACUGUAGCCCCAUCUGUAAAAAAAGCCUGAAGCACCCAUAUAUCAGCCGUCCGCAUAAAAAGUUAAAACGUUCUUGUUUCUUCUCCACAGCUCGUUCCGAUUUUUCCCCACCACUCGCAUCACCGCUAGCUUCUGCUUGCCUCGCAUCCAACGCUCUUUCCUAUGUUGUCAUUUGCUGUCCAUACUAAUUUUUCUUUCAAAUCCUUCCAGUGCACUUGUACUGGGACGAAGGUAGUAAAUUUAUAUUCUAGUAUGUAUCGACUCCCAUACAUGUUAUGUCUCUUUAACAUCGAUAAAUGAUCCUAAAGUUUGCAAACUAAAUAGCUAAUUUGAGCUAAAAAAAUGCGUAUAUGUACAUUCAUUGCAUGCUAAUUUUUUUACCUCCCAUGAACAGCUGACCUUUCUAUAUGGGUUAUAGUACAAUUCAACAAAACCUUCAUUCUGAUGAAUCUAGCUAGGUUCCUGUUCUCACUUUCUUUUUUGUUCACACCUAUGUGCACCGUACCGCCAACAACUGAAUUUGGAAUCAAACUUGGGAUCUCUUGGGCCGGGCACUACUGAGGUCCUGCUGACCAAUCGGUCACUCACUUCUAAGAACUGUUAGAGCUCAAGCUUGGGGUGGACUGUAGUGGUUGCACGUAUGACAUCUUGUUUCAACUUUUGUUUUAGCCUAUAAACUCUAGAUCGUGUAAGAACUGAAGCACUUUAGUUUAGCCCGUAAUUUUGGAGCAGACAGUCUGUAUAAGACCAUUUUUUACUCCCGUAUGAUUUUUGAAAGAAAUGCAUGGUCUAAACGGCGCCCGCAUGAUUCGUGGUUGCGUCCUCCUUAAGAAAAGCAGAAAGCACCAGCAGAAGCUGGUCAACCACGCGCUUGCUCUGAGCCUCUGAACCCUUUUCCCUGCCACAAACACAAAUAGGUGAUGCUGUUCUUCAGAGGAUACAGUGCUGCCCAUGCCAUCACGCAUGUAAUGUUUCCACAUGGUACGUCGCAGUCGUCUGAUGAUCGAGCAUCAGAUCGACAGAAAGACCCAUCAAAAAAAUCAUCCUGCACUGCAAUUCUGCAAGACAACAGAUGCACAGCAAUGGCAAUUGUCAUGACAUUGCAAUCAAGAGCCUGAAUUCCUAUUGUUCGUGCUACAACAACAAAGAUGCAAUUAAGCAAGGCCUUGUUUAGUUCCUAAUUCGGGAUUGGCAAAAUUGGCAUUUUGCCAUAAAUACGCAACUGUAGCGUUUUGUUUGUAUUUGUGAAUUAUUGUCCAAAUAUUGACUAAUUAGGCUCAAAAGAUUCGUCUCGUAAAGUACAACAAAACUGUGCAAUUAGUUUUUGAUUUCGUCUACAUUUAGUACUCCAUGCAUGUACCGCAAGUUUGAUGUGACGGGGAAUCUUCUAUUUGCAUAGUGUCAAAGUUGGGAGUUUGGAGGCAACUAAACAUGGCCCAAGAUACCUUCCUUCUUAGCGUUCCCCAGCUCUCUGCUUCCUCUUCCUUCUGUCUCCACUCUACCCCGACGAGCAGGUGCCACCACCGGCACCACCUCGAUGGCGUUGAGCCUCUUGCCACCACAUGGCGCAGGUGCCCGCAUCGUCGAUGCCUCAGCUGGCGCUAGCUCUCGGCGGUGUGGUCGCCCUCUAAUCCGCUUCUCCUCUAGCGGUGCCCCUCCGGCUCUCCCAGGCCGGAACUACGAGAACCUCGAUCUGGGCCAUGGCUUGCUCGAGGGCGAAGGCCAAAGCUAAAUUCUUGUGCAAGGAUCUCGAUUCAGGUGAUGUGGAUCUCAAUUGCGGCACUAAGAAACUCGAAUUGGGUGAGGGAGAUCUCGAUUCAACAAUGACUCAAUGAGCACUUAAUUUGGGCGGCAGGGUACUCGAUUCUAGCGUUUCUCCAUUGGAUCGUCUCGCAGGCUCCGUGCCUUGGAUCUGCUCAAUAGAACACGAAUCAAGGGGGAAAAGGGAUGGCCUGAAUCGUCACAACAUGGGCGAUCGAUUUUUUACAGCCGGAACCAAAUUCUAUAAUAUAUGCCCAUGGAUUGAAGAUUUCUUUUAUGGGCAGGAGAUGAGGAGAGAAAAAUAGAGAUGUACCGUGCGUGCGAGGAAUACAGAUAAACGCUUCCCCUCCUUCACCGAGUAACCCUCGCUGCCGCUGGACUCGGAGUCGGAGUCGCCGAAGCCGGAGAACUCCGACGCGAAGCUCAUCCUUGCGCCGACGGCGCUGCCCUUGGACGCGACGGACGGGGAGCUCGCCGACUUCUGGCUCCGCUGUGGUGACCUCUUUCUGGACGACGCGCACGCGCCGGCAAUGCCGCCGAGGCAGAGGAGAAGCUUUUUCCUCUUUUAACCCCCUCCCAUUCCUUUUUUUUUCCACCUGAGCAUCCUCUCUUCAGCAUUUGGACUACGGGUUGAUUUCAGAAAAGCUGAGAAUUUUUUUUUAAAAUGAUCAUGACGGACAAAAAAUUACUUGCUUUAAUAUAAUAUAAGGUAUAUCUAAAAUUUUGGUGAAAGCAUUACUUGCUUUAAUAUAAUAUUAGGUAUAGAUAUAGAUAUAUGAAUUCAAAACAGCCAAAGUGCUGGGCGUGACGUGAAGAAGUUAUACGCUUCUUGGCUGGCCGUUGUGGCUGAUUUCGUAUAGGUCGGAAUAUUGGUGAACGUGACGCGGUGCAAUGAUUGUGUGCUUAAUUUAGGCAUCAACGCAUCACGAUGCUGCCUCUGAUGGCACUCCGUUACAAAUUGUAGGUUGUUUUAGAUUUUUUUAGAUUCAUAGAUAUUAUUAUGCAUCUACGUAUAGUGUAUGUCUAGGUGUAUAAUAAUAUCUAUAAAUCUAAAAAAUUAAAACGAUCUAUAAUUUGGAACCGAGGAAGUAUUGCUUAGAAUAUUGCACUAGCUAAUUAGCUAUCCUCACAAAUUUUUUUGUGUAGUUUACUCACAUGCUUUGAUGCUAAGCUGAUGCAUGCUGCCUGGCCAGUACGACGUAGGUCAUGCAUGACGGCCAAAGUAAACAGGAAGAACUUCACUUCUUACAGUAAGAUCAUGCAUUAUACAUGUUUGUUAAAUCGUCUUGAUGAUGCUACGAGAUGGCAUGUAGAAGCGGCACCGGUGUCGUCCUUACAAAUGUGUCGGUUUUUUACCAAACGUUAUGGCCAGGUAUUUGGCUGUGGGAAGACGAUCGCAGGGGCGGAGCCAGGAAUUAGACGCGGGGCCCAACGGCGGCAACAGUCACUAUUGGAGAAUUAGAAGACCUAAUUAAUUACUAGUGUUAACGUCAGAUUUUGACACGUGUGAAAUCGGCGACAAGAAAGGAAGAAAUCAGGAGACGCGGCAAAAUACAAUUGGAAAUCGGCCGAUUGGUGCUACAGUUGAGGAUCGGCCGAUUGGUGCUGCAGUGUUUCCGCGAAUAGAGUUGGUGGAAAUCGGCCGAUUAGGAGGCUGGAGCGAUUGGGCCGGUAUGGGAUUAAAGUGAAUUAUGAAGAUGAAGAGGGAGUCAGCCCAUGAGAGCGCGAUGAUCAACUCCAGUACGAAUCAUACUUGUAAAUAUUUAUUUUCGUUUAAAAUUAGAGAUAGAGUCCUAAUCGGUUAAGAAAUUGGUUGUAACAGGCUAUAAAUAGCCACCUUCGUAGAUCUGUAAAAAGCAUAAAAUCAAUACAACAAACUACUAUUCCCUUGCACUUACUUUUGAGCAGGCGACUUCGCCAAUACUUUCUUCUUUUCACGAGUUCGUACGGGUUGGCGGGACUGCAUCAACUUGAUCUCCGGCCGAUUCUGUAAGUUCCGCUUAUCGAGUAAUAUCUAAGCUUUAACUUCGGACGCAUCGCUGUCGUUUCGUUUAGAUUUAUUCACCAGUUAUCGAUAUUUACUAGAAUUCUAGGUUUUGCCUGUUGUUCUAGUUUUAUCACCGGUUAUCCAACUAGGAAUUGGAACUUUCGGCUCUCUUGUACUUCAUGACUUAAUCCAUUGCUUUCUGCAUAGCCGAUUCAGAUCUAUUCCUAGUGUUGUUACUGUAGCGUUGUUUAGAUUAUUCUAGCAGAUUUCUUUACUAACGCUGCCUAGUAAUCGGCUGCAUUAUAGCCGAUUUCUUUAUUACAGCAAAUCUGCCGAUUCGCUGAUAAGCUUUCUCGAGAUCGGAACCUUAGCCGAUCGCAACCUUUGGGAUCUGACACGUUUCUUUCCUUGCCAAUCAACAGGUCAGAUUGGCUGGCACGCCGCGCGAACCGCACCAGAGCGAUCACCCGAACAGGAGUUAAGCAGAUUCUCCCGGGUCAUGUGUCCGACGCUGGAGAUUCGAUCGGCCGAUUUCUAGCGCCAACAACUAGGAAAAACAUUAUUUUAAGGCUAAAUGAUAGUGAUUAUCCUAAAUAAUUAGUGAUUAGUCUAAAUAAUUGAUGAAUGGAUAAUUAGGGGGGGGGGGGCGCAUGGCCCCUGCCGAACCCGCGACGAUGGGUCAAUUCAUCAGCGACAGCUUGCAUCUGUUUAAACUUGUGAUACUAUAAAAGAUUUUAAUAAAGCAGUCAAAUGCCCGCUCCACGUGUUGAGUUGUUUGUAGGGGUUUUGUUACAAAGUUUUGGAAUACAUAUAGAGAAAAUCAAAAGAAAAAUAAACUUAUACAAUUGUAUCAAGCUAUUGAUUGAUAAAUCAAUGGUCUGUGAUCCUCUGUGAUGUGAUGUGAUGGAUUUACAUCCAUGCGCCUUAUGACGUGGCAUGGACCACUCCAGAUAGGAGGUGGGGCAUGCAUGCAUAUCUAAUAUAAAGAAUAUGGUGCAGGAUGACGUAGUUGAUCAUGCUAGAGAUAGAACUAGUUGGGUAGAUAGAAAGUAUUAUAUAAUAAGAAUAGGACUUAUCAGGUCUUAACCGACUAGGAUUCUUGUAACAACUGACCUGUAUCCCUACCUCUGUAUAUAUAUAAGGUAAGAUAGAGAUCCCUCUAAAGCAUUACACAACACAACACAACUCAAUACAAUUAUCCAAAUAGGAUGUAGGGUAUAUGCUAUUUAGCGGUCCGAACGUGUCUGUAUUCACCUUCGAGUUUCUGAUCUCAACAAAAUCCCUCCAACCAAUCUUCUAUUUCGGGUAUGCCUUGGUAGGUUACUGGUAUAAACACCGAUAGCUGAUAGCUGGUGCGUCAAGCAGGGAAUCUCGGCAACGAUCCCCUGGUGAUUUCGAUGCCAUCUGUCAUCCUCAAGUCCAACGUCGUGUUUCAAGAAGGAUGUGUCGCACCUAUUGAUUAUUCUAUUUUAAUUUGUCUGCUCAAUCAUGGAAUGCACACCAUGCUUGCUCAACAACUGUUACCUGAAUCGACUAUAUAUAUAUAUAUAUAUAUAUAUAUAUAUAUAUAUAUAUAUAUAUAUAUAUCAAAUGACAUGAUGACAAAUUCAUUGUUUAUAGUAGUGGGAUUGUGGGAGUAAUUAAUACUAGUAUAGCUUAGAAUAUUGCACUAGCUAAUUAGCUAUCCUCACGCACAUGCUUCAUGCUAGCUGGUGCUGCCUGGCCAGCAGUACGACGUCAUGCAUGACAUCGAAAUUAAACAGCAACUUUCAUCAAUUCACUUCGUACAAUAAUGUUAUAGAUGCAUUAUAGAUGUUUGUACGAUGCAUUAUAGAUGUUGUUUAUAGACGUUGUUUGUUAAAUCGCUUCAAUGAAGCUACGAGAUGGCAUGUAGAAGCGGCACCAGUGUCCUUGCAAAUGUGUUGGUUCUUGUACCAAGCGCCAUAUAUACUUGAUCUGUCCAAAAUUAUAGAUCAUUUAGUUUUUUCUAAAUUUAUAAUUUUUAUUAUGCAUUUAGAUUAAGCAAAAUUUAUGAAUCUAGAAAAUUAUACCGACCUAUAAUUUGAAAUGGAGAGAGUAAUAAUUAACAAGGAACCGACUCAUGGCUAGAUAUAUAUGCAUGGUUCAGUAGCUUGUUUGUGGACACAUAACAUAUUUUUUUGUUGUACAAAUAAAAUGAAAGUCUUGUCGUAUCUGGACUUUAUAUACAGGAGCGCACACUAGGAUGGGUCAAUUCAUCAGCAGCUUGCAUCUGUGUUACUGAUAUGCUAUGUACGAGUUUAACAAAGCAGUCAGAUGCCCGCGGGCUCCACGUGUUGAGUUGUUUAUUGUCAUCUGACGCGCGCGGUGCGCCGCGUGCAUGCACGUAUCGAUUAUUGUUCUAUUUUAAUUUGUCUGCUCAAUCAUGGAAUGCACACGACGCUAACGCAGCAUCAAUACCUGAAUCGAUUAUGGCCCCGUUUGUAUCCGUUUAUAAGCAGCUUAUCGGUGGAAAUAAGCGAGAAUCCCGUCAAACGCUUUGCUUAUUUCCACCGAUUCUCGCUUACGUGGUAAGCCGCUUCAACGAUUUGAACUACGAGAAGCGAAAAGCGAGAAGCGAGAAAUUUUCACUUAGAUUAUAAUCCAAGCGUGGCUAGGAAAAGCGUAUACAAACAGGACCUAUAUAUCUUGAUAUGAUAUGAUAUGAUGACAAAUUCAUUGUUUAUAGUAGUGGGAAUGUGGGAGUAAUUAAAUACUAGGUGAUAUGUUUUUUUAAGGAAAACUGCAGAAGAGGUCACACAAUGCUUCAUCUCUACAUUACAUGGGCUUUGUUAAUAAUCACGAAGUUUCGGAACACUUACAGAGAAAAUCAGAAGGAAUACAAACUUAAACAACUGUAUCGCUAUUGCUAGAUAAAUCAAUGGUCUGAGAUCCUCCUUGAUGUGACGUGACGGAUCUACAUCCAUGGGUCUAAUAACGUGGCAUGGACUACUCCGGAUAGGGUAGAACAUCCUGGCGUAUCUAACAUGCAGGACGAUGUACCUAAUCAAGAGAUAGAACUAGUUGUGUAGAUGGAAAGUACUAUGUAAUAAGAUUAGAACUUAUCAUGUCUUAACUGAUUAGUUGUAACAAACAACCUGUAACCCUUCCCUAGAUAUAUAAGACGAGGCAGAGACCCCUCUAAAGCAUCACACAACCCAAUGCAAUACAAUUCUCCAAACAUGACUAGGAUAAUACGCUAUAUAGUGGUCCGAACAUGUCUAAAUCAUGUCUGUGUUCACCUUCGAGUUCCGAUCUCGACAAAACCUCUCCAACCAAUCUUGUACCUCAGUGUAUCCCUCGGUAGGUUGCCGGUAGGGCUGGACGCCGAGCAAGCUCGGCUCGGCUCGGUUUCGUUCGUUAGUCUAACGAGCUAGCUCGGCUUGGCUCGUUAACAAAAACGAGUAAAAAGGCUGGCUCGUCUCGGCUCGUUAAUGGCUCUCGGCUCGUUAAUGGCUCGAACCAGCUCGUUACCUCGCGAGCUAGAUGUAAAUUUAAAAUUACCUCAUAUUAAAUAUAAAAAAUAAUCAUCAUAUAAACUUCUAAACUCUAAAAAUCAACAGUUGACCUUUCUCCAUGCAUAAUAACUUAAACUUUUUAGACAAAAUUAUAGAUGUAGGUUCUUGUAUAAUUGAAAUGCAUGCUGAGGCACAUGUGUUCAACACAAUUUUCCUGGAUGCCGGGAACCGCGUUAGUUGGAGGCUGCCAGGCCGUGAUUCGUCGCGCACGUGCGAAACGCCCUUUACCCGCGCAACGCCCGCUUCGCCACGCCGCUUCCACACCGCUUCCUAUAUAAGCAAACCCUAACACUCCCUAGUUUCUCAUCACCAAGCAAAAGCAUACAAAGCAACCAGCUAGUUCUCUGCUCUCACCAAAGAGUUCAGAGCUCGCCUCGAUCGAUCAGCUUCUUAAUUGGUCCGUCACUAGCGCCAUUUCCUACAUCCACAGCUCUCGAUCGAUCUCAAGCUAACGCCAUGGGCAGCUUGGACACCAACCCGGCAGCCUUCUCCGUCUUCGGCGACGAGGCCGCCGGCGGCUUCCAGCCGCUGAAUGCCGAGGACGUCCGCUCGUACCUCCACAAGGCCGUCGACUUCAUCUCCGACUACUACAAGUCCCUCGAGUCCCUGCCCGUGCUCCCCGACGUCAAGCCGGGGUACCUGCAGAACGAGCUGCAGGCGGCGCCGCCCACCAGCUCCGCCCCCUUCGACGUCGCCAUGAAGGAGCUCAGGGCCUCCGUCGUCCCCGGCAUGACCCACUGGGCCAGCCCCAACUUCUUCGCCUUCUUCCCCUCCACCAACAGCGCCGCCGCCAUCGCCGGCGACCUCAUCGCCUCGGCGAUGAACACCGUCGGGUUCACUUGGCAGGCCAACCCCGCCGCCACCGAGAUGGAGGUCCUCGCGCUCGACUGGCUCGCCCAGCUCCUCCGCCUCCCCGCGAGCUUAAUGAACCGCACCGCCGCCGGCCGCGGCACCGGCGGCGGCGUCAUCCUCGGCACCACCAGCGAGGCCAUGCUCGUCACGCUCGUCGCCGCGCGCGACGCCGCGCUGCGCCGGAGCGGGUCGGAGGGCGUCGCCGGCCUGCCGCGCCUCGCCGUCUACGCCGCCGACCAGACCCACUCCACCUUCUUCAAGGCGUGCCGCCUCGCCGGCUUCGACCCGGCCAACAUCCGCUCCAUCCCCACCGGCCCGGAGACGGACUACGCCCUCGACCCGGCGAAGCUCCUCGAGGUCAUGGAGGCCGACGUCGCCGCCGGCCUCGUGCCGACCUACAUCUGCGCCACCGUCGGCACCACCUCCUCCAACGCCGUCGACCCCGUCGGAGCCAUCGCCGACGCCGCCGCGCUGUUCAACGCGUGGGUGCACGUCGACGCCGCCUACGCCGGCAGCGCGUGCAUCUGCCCGGAGUUCCGGCACCACCUCGCCGGCGUCGAGCGCGUCGACUCCAUCAGCAUGAGCCCGCACAAGUGGCUGCUGACGUGCCUCGACUGCACCUGCCUGUGGGUCCGCGACACGCACCGGCUCACCGACUCGCUGGAGACCAACCCGGAGUACCUCAAGAACGACGCCAGCGACUCCGGCGCCGUCACCGACCUCAAGGACAUGCAGGUCGGCGUCGGCCGCCGAUUCCGGGGGCUCAAGCUCUGGAUGGUCAUGCGCACAUACGGCGCCGCCAAGCUCCAGGAGCACAUCCGCAGCGACGUUGCCAUGGCCAAGAUGUUCGAGGAAAAUGUCAGGUCCGAUGACAGGUUCGAGGUCGUCGUGCCGAGGAACUUCGCCCUUGUCUGUUUUAGGAUCAAGCCUCACGGCGGCAUGACGGAGGAGGACGCCGACGAGGCCAACCAUGAGCUCAUGGAACGCCUGAACAGGACCGGGAAGGCGU
RNAcentral lists this long non-coding RNA (12808 nucleotides) under Setaria viridis. RNAcentral's name for it is "long non-coding RNA (SVIR_LNC006372)". The record is from RNAcentral. Lineage: Eukaryota; Viridiplantae; Streptophyta; Magnoliopsida; Poales; Poaceae.